GAGAGCCGAUGUACGGAGAAAUCUGUAUGCACGGUUCGGGAAGAGGGAUGAGGGAGACGGCCUCGGCGAUCAAGAGGAAGACUGGGAGUAGUCCAUGCGCGCCCUCACCCUACUCUCAC
RNAcentral lists this non-coding RNA (119 nucleotides) under Salinibacter ruber. The record is from RNAcentral. Lineage: Bacteria; Pseudomonadati; Rhodothermota; Rhodothermia; Rhodothermales; Salinibacteraceae.